AGCUCCAAGAGCGUAUGUAAAAGUUGUUGCAGUUAAAAAGCUCGUAGUUGAACCUUGGGCUUGGUUGGCCGGUCCGCUUUUUUGCGAGUACUGGACCCAACCGAGCCUUUCCUUCUGGCUAACUAGUUGCCCUUGUGGUGGCUAGCGAACCAGGACUUUUACUUUGAAAAAAUUAGAGUGUUCAAAGCAGGCAUUAGCUUGAAUAUAUUAGCAUGGAAUAAUAGAAUAGGACGUUAUGGUUCUAUUUUGUUGGUUUCUAGGACCAUCGUAAUGAUUAAUAGGGACGGUCGGGGGCAUCAGUAUUCAGUUGUCAGAGGUGAAAUUCUUGGAUUUACUGAAGACUAACUACUGCGAAAGCAUUUGCCAAGGACGUUUUCA
Molecule: ribosomal RNA, 378 nt
Filed under: uncultured eukaryote
Lineage: Eukaryota
Description: SSU rRNA
Rfam family: Eukaryotic small subunit ribosomal RNA
Source: RNAcentral